UCUGCUUGGGGAAAUAAGGAAAGUCUGGCACAGAACACCCGUCGACUCGUCGAACCCUGGUAUUCAACAUCUAAAUCCAGUGUCAACUUUCCACUUUUGAGAGCUCCCAGACUUGUCUGGACUUUUCUGAUUCAUCACCUUAUAUUCUCGCCUUCUCCGUACUCCGCGGAGAUCAAACUCCUCAAAUUGGUAUCAACUUUCCAAUUCUUCAGACUUUGAAGAGUCUUCUUGAUUAAUCCUCCAGGAUCGUCGCCAUUCUUUCA
This 263-nucleotide long non-coding RNA is filed under the name Lathyrus oleraceus (garden pea). RNAcentral's name for it is "Pisum sativum (pea) long non-coding RNA (PSAT_LNC039587)". Lineage: Eukaryota; Viridiplantae; Streptophyta; Magnoliopsida; Fabales; Fabaceae. The record is from RNAcentral.